Long non-coding RNA from Oncorhynchus tshawytscha (Chinook salmon), 313 nucleotides. The record is from Ensembl. Lineage: Eukaryota; Metazoa; Chordata; Actinopteri; Salmoniformes; Salmonidae.
AGAGGGAGAGAGAGGGAGUGGGAGAGAGGGAGAGAUGGGGAGAGAGGGAGGGGGAGAGGGAGUGGGAGAGAGGGAGUGGGAGAGAGAGAGAGAUGGGGAGAGAGAGGGAGUAGGAGAAAAUGAGAGAUGGGGAGAGAGAGGGAGUGGGAGAAAGUGAGAGAUGGGGAGAGAGAGGGAGUGGGAGAAAAGGAGAGAGAGGGAGUGGGAGAGAGGGAGAGAGAGGGAGUGGGGAGAAAGAGAGAGAUGGGGAGAGAGGGAGUGGGAGAGAGGGAGAGAUGGGGAGAGAGAGGGAGGGAGAGAGAUGGAGAGAGGG